Molecule: ribosomal RNA, 1244 nt
Filed under: metagenome
Description: bacterial LSU rRNA
Rfam family: Bacterial large subunit ribosomal RNA
Source: RNAcentral
UGAGUACGAGAUGCUACGGCAUCGAAGCAGUCUAUGUCAUACUUCCAAGAAAAGCUUGCAAUGUCAUAAACAAAUAAUGCCUGUACCAUAACCGACACAGGUGGGUAGGUAGAGUAUACUAAGGGGCGCGAGAUAACUCUCUCUAAGGAACUCGGCAAAAUGACUCCGUAACUUCGGGAGAAGGAGUGCCUUAUUUUCAUAAGGUUGCAAUAACAAGAUCCAAGCAACUGUUUACCAAAAACACAGGUCUCCGCUAAGUCGUAAGACGAUGUAUGGGGGCUGACGCCUGCCCAGUGCCAGAAGGUUAAAGAAGUUGGUUAGCAUUAGCGAAGCUGAUAACUGAAGCCCUGGUGAACGGCGGCCGUAACGAUAACGGUCCUAAGGUAGCGAAAUUCCUUGUCGGGUAAGUUCCGACCCGCACGAAAGGCGUAAUGAUUUGGAUACUGUCUCGGAGAGGGGCUCGGUGAAAUAGACUUGUCUGUGAAGAUGCGGACUACCUGCACCUGGACAGAAAGACCCUAUGAAGCUUUACUGUAACUUGAGAUUGAAAUUGGACUUUAUCUGCGCAGUAUAGGUGGGAGACGUUGAAAAUAUUCUUGCGGGAAUAUUGGAGUCAUCAGUGAGAUACCACUCUUAUAAUGUUAGAUUUCUAACUUUGUAUCAUUAUCUGGUCAAAGAACAGUUUCAGGCGGGCAGUUUGACUGGGGCGGUCGCCUCCCAAACGGUAACGGAGGCGCACAAAGGUUUCCUCUGAACGUGUAGAAAUCGUAUCUAGAGUGUAAAGGCAUAAGGAAGCUUGACUGUGAGACCUACAAGUCGAGCAGGGACGAAAGUCGGUCUUAGUGAUCUGACGGUGCUGAGUGGAAAGGCCGUCACUCAACGGAUAAAAGUUACUCUAAGGAUAACAGGCUGAUCUCCCCCAAGAGUUCACAUCGACGGGGAGGUUUGGCACCUCGAUGUCGGCUCAUUGCAUCCUGGGGCGGUAGUACGUCCCAAGGGUUGGGCUGUUCGCCCAUGAAAGCGGUACGCGAGCUGGGUUCAGAACGUCGUGAGACAGUUCGGUCCAUAUCCGGUGUAGGCGUUAGAAUAUUGAGAGGAGCCUUCUUUAGUACGAGAGGACCGAGAAGGACAUACCUCUGGUGUACCAGUUAUCGUGCCAACGGUAAACGCUGGGUAGCCAUGUAUGGAGAGGAUAACCGCUGAAAGCAUCUAAGUGGGAAGCCCACCUCAAGAUAAGUAUUCCC